This 814-nucleotide ribosomal RNA is filed under the name uncultured crenarchaeote. RNAcentral describes it as "bacterial SSU rRNA". It matches the Rfam family "Archaeal small subunit ribosomal RNA", at positions 52 to 874 of the family's 1478-position model. The record is from RNAcentral. Lineage: Archaea; Thermoproteati; Thermoproteota.
UGCGAGUCAACGUAGAAAUACGUGGCAUACGGCUCAGUAACACGUAGUCAACAUGCCCAGGGGACGUGGAUAACCUCGGGAAACUGAGGAUAAACCGCGAUAGGCCAUGAUUUCUGGAAUGGUUCAUGGCCGAAAUCUAUAUGGCCCCUGGAUUGGACUGCGGCCGAUCAGGCUGUUGGUGAGGUAAUGGCCCACCAAACCUGUAACCGGUACGGGCUCUGAGAGGAGGAGCCCGGAGAUGGGCACUGAGACAAGGGCCCAGGCCCUAUGGGGCGCAGCAGGCGCGAAAUCUCUGCAAUAGGCGAAAGCUUGACAGGGUUACUCUGAGUGGUUCCCGUUAAGGGGAUCUUUUGGCACCUUUAAAAAUGGUGCAGAAUAAGGGGUGGGCAAGUCUGGUGUCAGCCGCCGCGGUAAUACCAGCACCCCGAGUGGUCGGGACGAUUAUUGGGCCUAAAGCAUCCGUAGCCGGUACUGCAAGUCUUCCGUUAAAUCCACCUGCUUAACAGUUGGGCUGCGGGGGAUACUACAGCGCUAGGAGGCGGGAGAGGCAAGCGGUACUCAAUGGGUAGGGGUAAAAUCCGCUGAUCCAUUGAAGACCACCAGUGGCGAAGGCGGCUUGCCAGAACGCGCUCGACGGUGAGGGAUGAAAGCUGGGGGAGCAAACCGGAUUAGAUACCCGGGUAGUCCCAGCUGUAAACGAUGCAGACUCGGUGAUGGGCUGGCCUUGUGCCAGCCCAGUGCCGCAGGGAAGCCGUUAAGUCUGCCGCCUGGGGAGUACGGUCGCAAGACUGAAACUUAAAGGAAUUGGCGGGGG